This 476-nucleotide ribosomal RNA is filed under the name uncultured bacterium. Its description in RNAcentral is "bacterial SSU rRNA". It matches the Rfam family "Bacterial small subunit ribosomal RNA", at positions 915 to 1391 of the family's 1533-position model. The record is from RNAcentral.
GGGGGCCCGCAAGCGGUGGAGCAUGUGGUUUAAUUCGAUGCAACGCGAAGAACCUUACCUACUCUUGACAUCCAGAAAAUUCGCUAGAGAUAGCUUAGUGCCUUCGGGAACUCUGAAACAGGUGCUGCAUGGCUGUCCUCCGCUCGUGUUGUGAAAUGUUGGGUUAAGUCCCCCCACCAGCCCCACCCUUAUCCUUGUUUGCCCACCCCUUAUGGUGGGAACCUCAGGGGAGACUGCCGGUGAUAAACCGGAGGAAGGUGGGGACGACGUCAAGUCAUCAUGGCCCUUACGAGUAGGGCUACACACGUGCUACAAUGGCGUAUACAGAGGGCUGCAAGCUAGCGAUAGUGAGCGAAUCCCACAAAGUACGUCGUACUCCGGAUUGGAGUCUGCAACUCGACUCCAUGAAGUCGGAAUCGCUAGUAAUCGUGAAUCAGAAUGUCACGGUGAAUACGUUCCCGGGCCUUGUACACACC